CUGCAAUUAUUAUUAUUUUUUAUUUUCAUCUUUUAAGUUCAGGGGUACAUGUGCAGGAUGUGCAGGAUGUCCAGGUUUGUUACAUAGCUUGCCAUUCUGUGUCUUUCAUUGGAGAACACAUUGAGAUUUAAGAAAGAUCGUCUUCAAGCUCUGAGAUUCUUUUCUUGGCCUAUUCUGCUGUUAAUAAUUGUGAUUUCAUUGUGAAGUUCUUGUAGGGUG
Molecule: long non-coding RNA, 219 nt
Organism: Pan troglodytes (chimpanzee)
Lineage: Eukaryota; Metazoa; Chordata; Mammalia; Primates; Hominidae
Exons: 3
Source: RefSeq, a predicted model, not a curated record